CUGCGGCAGCGACACUGUGUGUUGUUGGGUAGGGGAGCGUUCUGUAAGCCUGCGAAGGUGGCCUGUGAGGGUUGCUGGAGGUAUCAGAAGUGCGAAUGCUGACAUAAGUAACGAUAAAGCGGGUGAAAAGCCCGCUCGCCGGAAGACCAAGGGUUCCUGUCCAACGUUAAUCGGGGCAGGGUGAGUCGACCCCUAAGGCGAGGCCGAAAGGCGUAGUCGAUGGGAAACGGGUUAAUAUUCCCGUACUUGGUGUUACUGCGAAGGGGGGACGGAGAAGGCUAUGUUGGCCGGGCGACGGUUGUCCCGGUUUAAGCGUGUAGGUGUGUGUUCCAGGUAAAUCCGGUUCACUUUAACACUGAGGCGUGACGACGAGGCACUACGGUGCUGAAGCAACAAAUGCCCUGCUUCCAGGAAAAGCCUCUAAGCAUCAGGUAACAUCAAAUCGUACCCCAAACCGACACAGGUGGUCAGGUAGAGAAUACCAAGGCGCUUGAGAGAACUCGGGUGAAGGAACUAGGCAAAAUGGUGCCGUAACUUCGGGAGAAGGCACGCUGACACGUAGGUGAAGUGAUUUACUCAUGGAGCUGAAGUCAGUCGAAGAUACCAGCUGGCUGCAACUGUUUAUUAAAAACACAGCACUGUGCAAACACGAAAGUGGACGUAUACGGUGUGACGCCUGCCCGGUGCCGGAAGGUUAAUUGAUGGGGUCAGCGCAAGCGAAGCUCCUGAUCGAAGCCCCGGUAAACGGCGGCCGUAACUAUAACGGUCCUAAGGUAGCGAAAUUCCUUGUCGGGUAAGUUCCGACCUGCACGAAUGGCGUAAUGAUGGCCAGGCUGUCUCCACCCGAGACUCAGUGAAAUUGAACUCGCUGUGAAGAUGCAGUGUACCCGCGGCAAGACGGAAAGACCCCGUGAACCUUUACUAUAGCUUGACACUGAACAUUGAGCCUUGAUGUGUAGGAUAGGUGGGAGGCUUUGAAGUGUGGACGCCAGUCUGCAUGGAGCCGACCUUGAAAUACCACCCUUUAAUGUUUGAUGUUCUAACGUGGACCCGUUACCCGGGUUGCGGACAGUGUCUGGUGGGUAGUUUGACUGGGGCGGUCUCCUCCUAAAGAGUAACGGAGGAGCACGAAGGUUGGCUAAUCCUGGUCGGACAUCAGGAGGUUAGUGCAAUGGCAUAAGCCAGCUUGACUGCGAGCGUGACGGCGCGAGCAGGUGCGAAAGCAGGUCAUAGUGAUCCGGUGGUUCUGAAUGGAAGGGCCAUCGCUCAACGGAUAAAAGGUACUCCGGGGAUAACAGGCUGAUACCGCCCAAGAGUUCAUAUCGACGGCGGUGUUUGGCACCUCGAUGUCGGCUCAUCACAUCCUGGGGCUGAAGUAGGUCCCAAGGGUAUGGCUGUUCGCCAUUUAAAGUGGUACGCGAGCUGGGUUUAGAACGUCGUGAGACAGUUCGGUCCCUAUCUGCCGUGGGCGCUGGAGAACUGAGGGGGGCUGCUCCUAGUACGAGAGGACCGGAGUGGACGCAUCACUGGUGUUCGGGUUGUCAUGCCAAUGGCACUGCCCGGUAGCUAAAUGCGGAAGAGAUAAGUGCUGAAAGCAUCUAAGCACGAAACUUGCCCCGAGAUGAGUUCUCCCUGAGACUUAAAGUCUCCUGAAGGAACGUUGAAGACGACGACGUUGAUAGGCCGGGUGUGUAAGCGCAGCGAUGCGUUGAGCUAACCGGUACUAAUGA
Molecule: ribosomal RNA, 1730 nt
Filed under: Salmonella enterica subsp. enterica serovar Enteritidis
Lineage: Bacteria; Pseudomonadati; Pseudomonadota; Gammaproteobacteria; Enterobacterales; Enterobacteriaceae
Description: partial 23S ribosomal RNA
Rfam family: Bacterial large subunit ribosomal RNA
Source: RNAcentral